This 225-nucleotide long non-coding RNA is filed under the name Gossypium raimondii (Peruvian cotton). RNAcentral describes it as "long non-coding RNA (GRAI_LNC000710)". Lineage: Eukaryota; Viridiplantae; Streptophyta; Magnoliopsida; Malvales; Malvaceae. The record is from RNAcentral.
AAUUAGCCCGGACUCGCACCAAAUGAACCAAAUCAAACAAAAAAUAAUAAAAACAGUCCAUUACAACAAAAUAGCCCAAAUUAUAGCAGGCCUAUGUGGCCCAAACCCAAAACAAAACAACAAGCCCAAAGUCCUAACCCAAAUCAAACCCUAGCCCAACAAAGUUCAGUGAACAGAAAAUAAGGAAACCUAGGGCGCGCCGCAUGGCCGCCUCGCGCUCCUACG